AGCGGCGAGCGAACAGGGACGAGCCCAGCGCCGAAUCCCGCGGCCGACACCGGACGCCGGGAAAUGUGGUGUUAGGGAGGAUCCGCUAACCCGAGAUCGCGCGGCGCGUCCAAGUCCUUCUUGAACGGGGCCACUUACCCACAGAGGGUGCCAGGCCCGUAGCGGCCGCCGCCGAUCGCGGGUGGAUCUCUCCUCAGAGUCGGGUUGCUUGAGAGUGCAGCCCUAAGCGGAUGGUAAACUCCAUCUAAGGCUAAAUAUAACCACGAGACCGAUAGCGAACAAGUACCGUGAGGGAAAGUUGAAAAGAACUUUGAAGAGAGAGUUCAAUAGUACGUGAAACCGUUCAGGGGUAAACCUGAGAAAUCCGAAAGGUCGAAUGGGGACAUUCAGCGCGUCUCGCGGCGCGGCGAGCUCGGAGUGUGCGACGGAAGGUCCUUCGGGUCCGACCGCGUCCCUUCCGAGCCGAGACCGACCGCGAACGCGUGCACUUCUCCCCUAGUAGGACGUCGCGACCCGUUGGGUGCCGGUCUAAGGGCCGCGGUGGAGCCCUCGGGGGCACGUCUCGCGACGUGUCCUCGCGGACCCGCGGACUUCCGACCCGCCCGCUCGACGGUACGAAGGUGGCGUUGGGUCGCUCGACAAUUUGUUCGGCGCCCGGCCUGUCGCAAGCGCUAGCGUUCGCAUCCGUCGUCGGACCUGUGUGCCGACACGGGGCGCGCCAGGCUGUUGGCGACAGUGUCCUCGGGCGGACCCGCCAACACACACACUAACACUGUGUGUGACACGCCCGUCGGCGACGCUUUAGCUUUGGAUACUUUCAGGACCCGUCUUGAAACACGGACCAAGGAGUCUAGCAUGUGCGCGAGUCAUUGGGACUUCGACUAAACCUAAAGGCGUAAUGAAAGUGAAGGCCGCCCUAGCGCGUGCCGAGGGAGGAACGGUCGGACCUUGCGUCCGCUCCGUGCACUCCCGGGGCGUCUCGUGCUCAUCGCGAGUUGAGGCGCACCC
RNAcentral lists this ribosomal RNA (1008 nucleotides) under Dolicaonina sp. RSA 2. RNAcentral's name for it is "partial large subunit ribosomal RNA". It matches the Rfam family "Eukaryotic large subunit ribosomal RNA", at positions 85 to 796 of the family's 3401-position model. The record is from RNAcentral. Lineage: Eukaryota; Metazoa; Arthropoda; Insecta; Coleoptera; Staphylinidae.